RNAcentral lists this ribosomal RNA (524 nucleotides) under uncultured bacterium. RNAcentral describes it as "partial 16S ribosomal RNA". It matches the Rfam family "Bacterial small subunit ribosomal RNA", at positions 28 to 523 of the family's 1533-position model. The record is from RNAcentral.
GACGAACGCUGGCGGCGUGCCUAAUACAUGCAAGUCGAACGAAGCUGUUUUAACUGGUGCUUGCACCGACUUAAACAACUGAGUGGCGAACGGGUGAGUAACACGUGGGUAACCUGCCCCAAAGCGGGGGAUAACAUUUGGAAACAGAUGCUAAUACCGCAUAGUCACAGAAACCACAUGGUUUCUGUGUCAAAGAUGGUUUCGGCUAUCACUUUGGGAUGGACCCGCGGCGUAUUAGCUAGUUGGUAAGGUAAUGGCUUACCAAGGCAAUGGUACGUAGCCGAACUGAGAUGUUGAUCGGCCACAUUGGGACUGAGACACGGCCCGAACUCCUACGGGAGGCAGCAGUAGGGAAUCUUCCACAAUGGACGAAAGUCUGAUGGAGCAACGCCGCGUGAGUGAAGAAGGUUUUCGGAUCGUAAAACUCCGUUGUCAGAGAAGAACGUGUGCGAGAGUAACUGUUCGUGCAGUGACGGUAUCUGGCCAGAAAGCCACGGCUAACUACGUGCCAGCCGCCGCGGUAA